CCCCACCCCGAUUUCUCAGGCUGGAAACCUGUACAUUUUCCUAUCCUGCUUCCGUUACAAAUCUGCGGGGACCAAUCACAAACUGGCCUAUCCACAUGGGGCGCUAUUGGCAGAUUUAACACGAUAGAGAAAAAACGGCGAGCAGC
Etheostoma spectabile (orangethroat darter) is the source of this 146-nucleotide long non-coding RNA. RefSeq lists it as uncharacterized. The transcript has 3 exons. NCBI's taxonomy places the organism in Eukaryota, Metazoa, Chordata, Actinopteri, Perciformes, Percidae. The record is from RefSeq and is a predicted model, not a curated record.